UGGUGGAGUGAUUUGUCUGGUUAAUUCCGUUAACGAACGAGACCACAGCCUGCUAAAUAGUGCUGCUUUUUUCACGAAAGGUAGUAGCUUCUUAGAGGGACGUGCUGUAUUUGUACAGCAGGAAGCGUGUGGCGAUAACA
Molecule: ribosomal RNA, 140 nt
Filed under: uncultured eukaryote
Lineage: Eukaryota
Description: partial 18S ribosomal RNA
Rfam family: Eukaryotic small subunit ribosomal RNA
Source: RNAcentral